Engraulis encrasicolus (European anchovy) is the source of this 421-nucleotide long non-coding RNA. RefSeq lists it as uncharacterized. NCBI's taxonomy places the organism in Eukaryota, Metazoa, Chordata, Actinopteri, Clupeiformes, Engraulidae. The record is from RefSeq and is a predicted model, not a curated record. The transcript is spliced from 3 exons.
AACAAAAAGACAAAAAUGGGGGGUCCACUACACUUGCAUACAAACUGAUUGUGAUGCUGUCACUCAUUUUCUAGUCUAUAUCUUGGACUGAAAAAACCUUAUUAUGUUUUCAGGUGUUUUGCCCCUGCGGUUGUGAAGAGGAUGCUGUGGAGGUGGCAGCAUGAACGUGUCACACAGACAUUGGCUAAACUACUCGGCUUCUACACUUGCCCUCAGAGUUCACAUAUGGUUAAGUGCACAGGUGUCCAGCCAGGUUCAGACUGAUGCUGGUAACAAGAGGAAAACAUGCUGAUUGGAAUGAUUCAACGAUGGACAUUUUGCUUAAUUGUGGAAAAAAAUAAAUGGAAAAACUUCUAUGGUUUCUUGUGUUUUCAUUGGUGAGGCAUAUGGGUUAAGCACUGAUCAGGAAGACCUCAAAUAA